UAUGUUCACAUCAACUUUUAAUGUAAUGAUAAAUUAAAGCAAUAUUCAGUUUGACCCUCACAGUAUAAAAGAAACUGUCGGAUUAGUUCGACUAAUUUACACAAAGAGUAAAUGUUGGGAUUCAUAGAUUGGUUGUUAAGCCACCUGAAAUUCUUCAAGUUGAAGUUCAACCAUGACUGAUCUUAAAAAGCAUUGUUGUCAGUAUCAGUACAUAUGCUCUAAGAGUAGAGGAUAUGAAAGGGGAAUGAUGGUGGUUCUGUCGAUGAGGGCGUCGUUUCUUAUAAAUGUCUUCAGUAUUGGUGAUAUCAGUAUGUUAUAAGUUGAAAACUACCAUGAAUGGUCAGACACAAGUGUAAAUUUUAAUAUUGCAUGUUGUGAAAUUUGUCGCUGGACAGGUUAACAGAUUUCAUAUAUUUUUAAGUUGAAAAACCGCAGAAGUGUGUAGAGAUAUGUUCAUAUCAGGUGAUCUUACUCCAUUGAAAAUGAAGUUUCAAUGAGCCCACAAUGUGUGACAAGGGGAUAUAUAUACAAAGGUGUAUACCAGGGAUGGUAUCAUUCAGUGCACGUAUAAAAUGAAAAAGUUGUUGUCCUCUCUUUUGAGGAUGUUAAAUGUUGAAGUUUACUUGGAAGCUGUUGAUUUGAGAAGACACCAACUUGUGACCAAGUGUAAGCUCACCAACAUGGCCAAGAAAACAUUUAAUUUGUUCGAAUCGUUGCAACACUUCUUUUCGUUUUGAAGUUGAAACUAGUUCUAUUUAUUCUGGUUGUGAAAAAUGUGAGAUUAAUUUGCACAAAUCUAGUCAAAGAAAGACUUAUUUAUUGACUUAAGAACUCUUGUUAUACUUAUUCUAUACAAACCAUUUAAAUCAAUAGUAUAUUAUAUACAUGUAGUUCCUUUGCAACAUAAGGUCAUUUCGGAGAAAAAGUGAUAUUAAUUUAUGUAGAACUAGUCAAAGGAAGACAGAUUGUAUGAAGUACACUUAUUAUACUCAUUCUCUUCAAAAUAUUCAUAGUUUGUCUCUGUGCAUUAUUUUUUGAUAACCCACAGAAGCUAGUAACAUUUCACAUGAUCAUGUAUAUUGGUCAUUAUCUGAUGACAGACUUGUCUACUUUGUAUUUGAAAUUUCUUUUUUUAUGCAUAUUAACAGUACUAUACAUUAGGUUAGAAUUAAUACACACUGCAAACAUGUAUAGCUAAAGACAGUAUAAAUUUGUACUACCAUUAAAAUUUGAAGUAUAUGAUUGUAGUUCUACAUGUACAUAUACUAUAAAAUUAAUAAGUAUAUAUUAGGUUAAGUUAUAUACUUGAUUGUAAUCUUCUACAUCUGAGCUUAAUAUCUAAAGUGAAAGAUAGCUAUCUUUUUUAAUGUCUGAAGCCCAUUGUGGGGUAACCCCAUUAAAUAUGAUUGGAUAUUUUAAUGUUUGUUGGAAAAUGACAAAACUACAUAAUCUAGAUUUUGCUAUGUUUGUUAAAAGUUAGGAUUAUCUUGUUCCAUUUCUACUUAACACGUGUACAAUUUACUACAAAGCUACAUCGUUUAAUCUGUAUAUAAUUUAAUAAGUUAUAAGUAAGACAUGAUACAAGUGUAAAUGUCGGGUUGAAUUUUUAAGCUCUAGCUCUAUUUUCAAAGUUCAUUUCAUUUGGAACAACAUGUAACAGGUUAUCAUCUAAAAUUUAUUCCCUUUGUGAAUUGUGUCACUAAUACUUUUGAAUGGAAUACCUUCCUUUAUUGAGUGUUGUAAAAGAAAAAUACCUUUAGAAGCUUUCAUUUGAUAUAUGAAAUUCUAACACGAUCCGAUUAAUUUUCCUAUUAAAAAAAAGGGCUGAAAAAAGUGAUUUAUUAAUUCAUUAUACAAAAAAUUCACUGUUCUGAUGUCACAAUCAUUACAUCAUGGCGUCAAAAGGCAUAGCGGUGCACUAGAAAAGAAACCAUCUGAACUCCAAACAAUGAUUUAUUCUACGCCAAAUCACUAAAUGAGAUAUAUUUUUUCUUAAUUAUAUAUUUUUUAAAAUUCUAUUUUCUAAAUUAAUGGCGUUAACAAAAGGUGUAUAGAUAUAACCCACUAGAAACUCACUAGAAUUUUAAUUACCGGUACUUUCAACCCGUAUCAUGCUGGACACAAUUAAUUCAGCGACCAGUGUAGAUCAUGACCAGCCUGCACAUGUGUGCAGUCUGAUCAUGAUAUACAGUGUUUGUAAUCAGUCUGUUAAUGGUAGUGUCCAAAUUGAAAGAUAGACAAGUUCAUUAUGGAAAUUUAGCAGGGUAAGGUUUAAAAGAGUUUAGAAAAAUAAUAUACAUGUAUGUUUAACAGUUUUAUUGCUUGAGCAUAUCAAAUUACCUAGAAAAGUCUGAAAAACAGGCAAGAUUUAAUGAUGUAAGAAUCAUAUUUGUAUGUCAAGUCUUUUAUUAUAAUUUCUUGUUAAAUUUAUAUUCUUUCGUGAAGAACUUGCUAUGCUUGCCUCACUACAUGUACCAUAAAUACGGUAUGAACAGUCAGGGUUGUAACUGCUUCAAGUUGUAAUAUGGCAGUUCAUAACCCAUUUGAGUUAUUGCUUAAUAUACUUUCAUAACUUGUUUUAGUUAUCAUAAAACCUGUGUUUAGCUAAUUCCUCAUUUUGAAUGAGACUAAUGCAAUUAUUUCCUGAAUCCUUGAAUUUUUAUCUUUCCAGCCAUGCAGUAAAUUUUUUUACACAAGGAUGAUAAAGGUUUAUAAAAGUUUUAAAGCUAUAAAACUCUUAACAUCCCUUUUAUGCUUAUCAGGUCAUGAUCAGACUAAAAGAGAAUUUGAUUAACCACAGUUUGCUACUAAUUUUACUUUAAAGGUCACUUUGUGAAUACAGCAAGAAGACUUUUUGAAUAACUUACCUGAGUUAACCAUAUACUUAUAUGACUAAUACAGGUUAUAAAAGGCUUGAAAAGUAACUGAAAUACUGUAGGUUACAUAACUUAAAACAGUUACACCCCUGACUGAUGAAUACUUGUUAAAACACAUGAUAUUUCAAUUGUAUGUUUAAUAGAGAAAUUAUAAGAAAGAGUUGUAAAUUUACAUGUACAUUGUACUUUGUUACUGACCUGAAACAUUGAGUGUGGAGAAUUUUAACAUUAUUGAUCAGUUUCAGUUGAAAUUACACACCAAAUUGUAUAAUCUGUUAUGAGCCUAAAGUGUAAUUAUAGGUACAUAGAUUUGUAUCAAGAAAUCUGCAAGAGUUCUGCAGCGGAAAUAUUGCACGACUUUAGGAGCACCGUAUUAUCCUGUGAAAAGGGGCCUCCGUGGCCGAGUGGUUAAGGUCACUGACUUCAAAUCACUUGCCCCUCAUCGAUGUGGGUUCGAGCCUCACUCGGGACGUUGGAUUCUUCAUGUGAGGAAGCCAUCCAGCUGGCUUACGGAAGGUCGGUGGUUUUACCCAGGUGCCCGCUCGUGAUAAAAUAAUGCACAGAGGGGCACCUGGGGUCUUCCUCCACCAUUAAAAGCUGGAAAGUCACCAUAUGACCUAUCAUGUGUCGGUGCGACGUUAAAUCGAACAAAACAAAAUAUCCUGUGAAAAAAUGGGGGCAGGUUUCUUGAUGUAAAUCUAAUAAUCUUUUUAUUACAUCCAUGUCUACACUUAAAUAACUGCAUAAAUGAGUCGUAUUUGUUAUUAAGCCUGAGUGAGAUUGAAAAUUAUUCUGGCAACAGAACUGUUUAAAUGCGACGGCAUGCACGAAAUUUACAUCACAAGUUACGUCAGAUAUCCAAUAUAAAAUUUGAGCGUCAAUAUGGAAAAAAAACAUUGAUGUUUCAGGUUCCAGUGAUAAUAGUUUUUAGCUCUCGACUAUUCAAAGAAUAAGUAGAGCUAUCCUACUCACCAUGGCGUCUGCGUCAGCGUCACACCUUGGUUAAGUUUUUCGUAUCAGUCCACAUUUUGACAAAGUCUUUUGAGAUAAAGCUUUGAGACUUUCAGCACUUGUUAGUCACCACCAUGUCCAGUUAUAGGCAAGAGCACAUAACUUCAUCAAGAAUUUUGGCUGAAUUAUGGCCCCUUUUGCCUUAGAAAUCAUGGUUAAAUUUUUCAUACCAGUUCAUAUUUUGACAAAGUCUUUUAAGAUAAAGCUUUGAAACUAUCAACACUUGUUUACUAUCACCAUGUCCAGUUAUAGGCAAGAGUACAUAACUCCAUCAAGGAUUUUGGCUGAAUUAUGGCCCCUUUUGACUUAGAAAUCUUGGCUAAGUAUUUCGUACCAGUCCACAUUUUGUCAAGUCUUUUAAAAUAAUGCGUUGAAACUUUCAACACUUGUUUACCAUCACCAUGUCCAGUAAAAGGCCAGGAGUACAUAACUCCAUCAAGGAUUUUUCCUGAAUAUGGCCCCUUUUGACUUAGAAAUCUUGGUUAAGUUUUUCGUACCAGUUUAUAUUUUGUGUUAAGUGUUUUACAUAUGGCUUUGAAACUUUUAUCACUUGUUCAGUAUAAUAGUCUCUAUCUGUAGGCAAGAAUACAUAACUCUGUCAUCUACUUUGGUUAAAUUAUGGCCAUUUCUGCACUUUUAAAUUGGUUCAGUUUUUCAUACACAUUGCCAUUUAGUGCAAGACUUAUCAAAAUCCACAAAUACAGGAACAUUGUUUGUUUAUUAAUCCUCCGCCGUGGCGGAUGGAUUAUAGGAAUGGUCUGCGUCCGUCCUUCCGUCUGUCUCUCCGUCUGUAACAAAAUCGUGUCCGGUCCAUAUCUCCUAAACCCCUUGAAGGAUUUUCAUGAAACUUGGGUCAAAUGAUCACCUCAUCAAGACGAUGUGCAGAACCCAUGAGUCAGCCUUGUCGGUUAAAGGUCAAGGUCACAACUCAAGGUCAAAGGUUUGAGCCUGCCAUUUUGUGUCCGCUCUAUAUCUCCUAAACCCCAUGAAGGAAUUUUAUAAAACUUGGGUCAAAUGAUCACCUCAUCAAGACGAUGUGCAGAACCCAUGAGUCAGCCAUGCCGGCUCAAGGUCAAGGUCUUCCAUUUGGUGUCCACUCUGUAUCUCCUUAACCCCUUGAAGGAUUUUCAUCAAACUUGGGUCAAAUGAUCACCUCAUCAAGAACUCAUGAGUCAGCCAUGUCAACUCAAGGUCAAGGUCACAACUGAAGGUCAAAGGUUUCAGCUCUGUAUCUCCUAAACCCCUUGAAGGAUUUUCAUGAAACUUUGGUCAAAUGAUCACCUCAUCAAGACGUUGUGCAGAAUUCAUGAGUCAGCCAUGUCAGUUCAAGGUCACGGUCACAGCUAAAAUCAAAGGUUUACCCUUAAACUAUCCAUAGCAGUGGCGGGGGAUUUAGCUGUCGUUCAGACUGCCUUGUUCUAUUUGUUUUCUUUUGUCUGAAAAUUCUUGGUAAUAUUUUGACCUCUCUUUCAAUCAAUUCUUUGAAUAAUGGAGCGCGCUGUCAUACGACAGCUCUUGUUUAUAUAUAAUUAUGUAGUUUAAAAGCAAACUUUUUAACUUCUAGUGUAAAUUACUAAAUAGAAAAAAUGAAAUAAAAAACUUUUGUAUAUAAGUCUAUGCGUUCCCUGUUAUUGGUUCUAAAUAUCAGUCGAUUUGUUGUAAUACUUGUAUCAGGGGAUGGCGGUGGACAUUUCGUGUUCUACUAUGAGCUCUUGUUCUAUUGGCUUUGAGAAACUAAAAUUCAUGAUGAGUUUGUUGAAAUAUUGUUCAGAAUUUGAAAUUUCAUGUUCAGACUUUGAGUUCAAAUGCUGGAAUUACUGUUACAGUGUUUUAAUGCCCCCGAAGGUGGGCAUAUUAAAAUCGCACUGUCCGUCCAUGCGUGCGCCUGGUAAAUUCUUGUCCGGACUGUAACUCUUCCAUCCAUAAAGGGAUUUCGAAAUAACUUGGCAUAAAUGUUCACCAUAAUGAGACGAAGUGUCCUGCGCAAAACCCAGACCCCUAGCUCCAAGGUCAAGGUCACACUUAGAGGUCAAAUGUUAACAUGGUCUGUUUCAUGUCUGGUCCAUAACUCUGCCAUCCAUGAAGAGAUUUUGAAAGAACUUGGCAUAAAUGUUUACCAUAAUGAGACGACAUGUCAUGCGCAAGACCGAGACCCCUAGCUUCAAGGUCAAGGUCACACUUACAAGUCAAAGGUUAACAGGGUAUGUUUCGUGUCCGGUCCAUAACUCUGCCAUUUAUUAAGGAAUUUUGAAGUUACUUGGCAUAAAUGUUCACCAUACUGAGACAACAUGUCGUGAGCAAGACACAGACCCCUACCUCCAAGGUCAAGGUCACACUUAGAGGUUAUAGGUUAACAUGAUCUGUUUCUUGUUCGGUCCAUAACUCUGCCAUUGAUCUAGGGAUUUUGAAAUUACUUGGCAUAAAUGUUCCCUAUAGAGAUGAGGUGCCAUGUGCAAGACGCAGACCCCUAGCUCCAAGGUCAAGGUUACACUUGGAAGUCAAAGGUGUUUCUUGUCUGGUCCAUAACUCUGCCAUUUAUCAAGGGAUUUGAAAAUAAUCUGACACAAAUGUAAACCAUAUUGAGAAGAUGUGUCACAUUUUUGACCGAGGUCUCUUAGGUCAAGGUCACAAAAUGAUAUGUGAUUUUUUUGUGAAUACAACUGUGGCAUUCUUGGGCCUACUUUGGGAGCAUUUGUCACCAAUAGUGACAGCUCUAGUUAAGACUGACAUUGUUUCUGGACAGAACUUUAAUAUUUUGCCAUAUGAUUUAGGUAUCAUAUUCUUGUGACCAAAAUUUGGUAUGUUUCUUAAGAUGUAUGUAUCUAAUUAAGUAUAUGUUGAAGUAAAUAUUUUUUUAUUAUUCUAACUAAAUAAAACAUCAAAUUUUAUGUUCCAACAUAGCAAUAUACAUGUAUGUUCUUUUUCUUUGAUUAUUGUAUUUGUUAUUAUGUCAUAUGCUCUAAAUGAGCAGUGGCUUUGAAAUAAAAAUCUUGAAGUCUUAAAAAAAA
Long non-coding RNA from Mercenaria mercenaria, 6895 nucleotides. RefSeq lists it as uncharacterized. NCBI's taxonomy places the organism in Eukaryota, Metazoa, Mollusca, Bivalvia, Venerida, Veneridae. The record is from RefSeq and is a predicted model, not a curated record. The transcript is spliced from 2 exons.